This 254-nucleotide ribosomal RNA is filed under the name uncultured bacterium. Its description in RNAcentral is "partial 16S ribosomal RNA". It matches the Rfam family "Bacterial small subunit ribosomal RNA", at positions 524 to 776 of the family's 1533-position model. The record is from RNAcentral.
UACGUAGGGUGCAAGCGUUAAUCGGAAUUACUGGGCGUAAAGCGUGCGCAGGCGGUUUUGUAAGUCUGAUGUGAAAUCCCCGGGCUCAACCUGGGAAUUGCAUUGGAGACUGCAAGGCUAGAAUCUGGCAGAGGGGGGUAGAAUUCCACGUGUGAGCAGUGAAAUGCGUAGAGAUGUGGAGGAACACCGAUGGCGAAGGCAGCCCCCUGGGUCAAGAUUGACGCUCAUGCACGAAAGCGUGGGGAGCAAACAGG